RNAcentral lists this ribosomal RNA (483 nucleotides) under uncultured bacterium. RNAcentral's name for it is "partial 16S ribosomal RNA". It matches the Rfam family "Bacterial small subunit ribosomal RNA", at positions 30 to 507 of the family's 1533-position model. The record is from RNAcentral.
UUGAACGCUGGCGGCAGGCCUAACACAUGCAAGUCGAGCGGAUGAAGGGAGCUUGCUCCUGGAUUCAGCGGCGGACGGGUGAGUAAUGCCUAGGAAUCUGCCUGGUAGUGGGGGAUAACGUCCGGAAACGGGCGCUAAUACCGCAUACGUCCUGAGGGAGAAAGUGGGGGAUCUUCGGACCUCACGCUAUCAGAUGAGCCUAGGUCGGAUUAGCUAGUUGGUGGGGUAAAGGCCUACCAAGGCGACGAUCCGUAACUGGUCUGAGAGGAUGAUCAGUCACACUGGAACUGAGACACGGUCCAGACUCCUACGGGAGGCAGCAGUGGGGAAUAUUGGACAAUGGGCGAAAGCCUGAUCCAGCCAUGCCGCGUGUGUGAAGAAGGUCUUCGGAUUGUAAAGCACUUUAAGUUGGGAGGAAGGGCAGUAAGUUAAUACCUUGCCGUUUUGACGUUACCAACAGAAUAAGCACCGGCUAACUUCGUG